This 155-nucleotide small nuclear RNA is filed under the name Peromyscus maniculatus bairdii (prairie deer mouse). Its description in RNAcentral is "U1 spliceosomal RNA (ENSPEMG00000006103.2)". It matches the Rfam family "U1 spliceosomal RNA". From Rfam's summary of the family: U1 is a small nuclear RNA (snRNA) component of the spliceosome (involved in pre-mRNA splicing). Its 5' end forms complementary base pairs with the 5' splice junction, thus defining the 5' donor site of an intron. Lineage: Eukaryota; Metazoa; Chordata; Mammalia; Rodentia; Cricetidae. The record is from RNAcentral.
AUGCUUACCUGGCAGCCAAGAUACCAUGAUCCAGAAGGUGGUCUUCCCAGGGUGAAGCUUAUCAAUUGUAUGCCGAGCCCUGCAACUUCCCCAAACACAGAACAUCCGACUGCACAACUUAUGGUACUGGGGACUUGUGUUCAUGCUUUUCCCUC